Molecule: microRNA precursor, 62 nt
Filed under: Sphenodon punctatus (tuatara)
Lineage: Eukaryota; Metazoa; Chordata; Lepidosauria; Sphenodontia; Sphenodontidae
Description: Spt-Mir-22-P1b_pre stem-loop
Rfam family: mir-22 microRNA precursor family
Source: RNAcentral
AGUUCUUCAGUGGCAUCCUUUAUGUCCUGUCUAGAAGCUAAAGCUGCCAGUUGAAGAACUGU